AGCCUUCUGCAUCUGUGCUUAGAUUUCGUCAGGUGCCAACCCGUUGGGGCUGAUGCAACUUCCCAGAUAAGUGAAGCG
This 78-nucleotide microRNA precursor is filed under the name Trichobilharzia regenti. RNAcentral describes it as "mir-3492 microRNA precursor family". It matches the Rfam family "mir-3492 microRNA precursor family". The record is from Rfam by way of RNAcentral. Lineage: Eukaryota; Metazoa; Platyhelminthes; Trematoda; Strigeidida; Schistosomatidae.